UACAGAGGGUGCGAGCGUUGUCCGGAAUCACUGGGCGUAAAGGGCGCGUAGGCGGCUUGAUAAGCGUGCGGUGAAAGCCCGGGGCUCAACCCCGGGUCGGCCGUGCGAACUGUCGAGCUGGAGCACUGUAGAGGCAGGUGGAAUUCCGGGUGUAGCGGUGGAAUGCGUAGAGAUCCGGAAGAACAUCGGUGGCGAAGGCGCUCUACUGGACCACAACUGACACUCAGGGACGAAAGCUAGGGGAGCGAAUGGG
This 253-nucleotide ribosomal RNA is filed under the name uncultured bacterium. Its description in RNAcentral is "partial 16S ribosomal RNA". It matches the Rfam family "Bacterial small subunit ribosomal RNA", at positions 524 to 776 of the family's 1533-position model. The record is from RNAcentral.